Molecule: RNA transcript, 10411 nt
Organism: Betta splendens (Siamese fighting fish)
Lineage: Eukaryota; Metazoa; Chordata; Actinopteri; Anabantiformes; Osphronemidae
Gene: snap47
Gene name: synaptosome associated protein 47
Exons: 7
Source: RefSeq, a predicted model, not a curated record
GUUUUCCAGUCGGACAGUAAAUACUGCCGUGCUCUUUGGUGACGUCACUUCCGUAAUAAACACCGCCAUCGAGAUCGCUGGUGGUGCCGUAAUGCCGCUGAGCCAAAUGUUUUUACACUGUAAAGGAAGUGAAUCGGCAUAUCCUUCUCCAAAAUGAGCCGGGACGUCCCUAUCCACAGCUGGCCCGGUUCCUAUUACAUCAACAGUGAGAAGCGCUGGGAAAAUGGCACCCUGUCCCUCACCAGGACCACGGUUCGCUUUGUCUCCACUCAGACCAAGGAGACUCUUACCAGCUUCCACCUCUCCCGCAUCGUGGAGAUGAAGAUGGAGUCCUCCAGCUUCAUCUUCAGCACCCUGACGGUGCUCGAAGAAGGCAACGUCAAACACUGGUUCGGCUCCCUGAAGCCCAACAGGGUGGUGGUUUACAAUGUACUGGAACAUUUCUGGAGAGAGCGGCUUCUGUCCCCCGACUCAGAGGCCCGCGGGGCAGAGUCUCAACCCUCUAAAGGCAGAGAGCUGAUCGGCCUGGUGGCAGGGGCCCAGAGGAGGCUGGAGGACACAGGCAGGGUCCUCAGCCACCAAGGAGAGCAGUUCGAUGACAUGAUGCAGGGACUAGAGAAGAUUGACUCUGACCUGGGCGUGGCUGAUAAACUUUUGUCAGAACUUGAAUCUCCCGCCUGGUGGCCUUUUGGUAAACUCCCCUGGAAGACUCACCAGGAAGCCAAGGCUGAGGACGCUGCAAGAGCUGCAGCGGCUGCCGCCGCCUCAGCUGGUAAAGGAUCUGCUAGAAAUAAGGUCAUCGCAAGCAUCCCAGCGGUGGUGUCCAGAGGGAGCGACUCGGACUUGAAACCCGGAUGCUUUUUGGUGCUGGUGUCUUCACUGGAGGUGCGGGACACAAACUGCCAGCUGCUUCACCGCUUUGAGCGCAAUGAAGUAGAUGAAAUCCGGGUGCACAAUCCUUAUGAGAUAAGUGUUAGACAGCGGUUCAUAGGGAAGCCAGACAUAUGCUACCGGUUCCUGUCUGCCAAAAUGCCAGAAGCCAUGUCAGUGUUAGAGAUGCAGUAUAAAAAGAAGGUGGAGUUCACCAGUGAAUUCAGCGCUUUCAAGGCAACUCCAGUCUCUUCUCCAUGUGACAUGGAAGGAAAAAGCUGGAAUGAAGGUUUGCUGCAGAAGUGCCAGGAGCUCCCACUGGAGGUCCCAGCAGGAGAGCUGUCCCAGUUGCAGGUACAUGUCCUUCAGCCAUCUGUCAGUCAGGCUGAGGCCCAGGAACUCAAACAGAUGCUGAUGCAGCUGAAGACUCUUGCCCUGGAAGCAGAGACGGAGCUGGAGCGCCAGGAUGAGGUGCUGGAUGUCCUGACCAGCUCCACGGACCGAGCCACCAUGCACAUAGGGAAGCACACCUGCCGUAUGAAAAAACUGCUGUAGCUCAGACGUCCGAGCAGAUGAACACACUCCCCGUGUCCCUCUGGAGAAAGGCUCUGUGCUCCCCCAGCGCGUCUGACACACUGACCUCCCGGCCUCUGCUGGCAGCGAGGCCGUCCAGGAGCCGGGCCGCGGGCAGAUCAAAGCGGGAGCGAUGCCCCACCAGCAGAGAUAAAUACACGCUUCCUCCCAGCUCGCUCGCACUGCUUUUUCCCACACUCCUUGAACUCUCCUGCUGCAGCGGGGCCAGCUCGCAGGAAACGACCGACCACAUCAAGCGGCCGGGCUGCUUUAACGGGAGCGCCGGUGCCAGGCUUCACAAGAAAUGCAAGAGGUCCAAUCCAAACUACUACAAGCUGAACUCCUGCCAGCCAGGUCUGGGCCAGGGAGCCGUGGGGAUGAAUACCAGAGGUAUGUCAGACCAAUGAGAAACAGGUGGCUGGCAGCAGCAAAUGAGUCGCAAGGACAAGUGCAAAUUGCCACUGGCAAUAAUUGAAGGUCUUUAAAGGGUGGGUGGGAGACGGCCGCCCGGUGCCGAGGACGGGUUCAGAUUAGCAUCUUCAUCGCUCCCAUCAUCUCCAAGCAGAGCACGAGGAGCUUUGAGCUCCGCUGCUGGUGCUGUGACAGUCACAUUAGCGGCGAGAAAAAACAGUGUCCGAGCUUUUUAGCAACAUGUUUGUUUAUUUUUCCUCCAGUUCCUUUGUGGGUUUUGUUUAAAGCCCUUUGGCCGGGGAUGAUUCCGCCUGGCGGCCCCCCCUCCUCUCCACCGCACACCUUCCCUCUUGCCAUCCGUAAUUACCACACUGUUCGAGUCCUGGCCUGUCCAAAAGCCACUGCAGGUCUGAUUUUUUUUGGCUUGGCUCCUCUCUGACAUGCCUGGGAAGGGCAAGGAAAGGAAAUGGGUGGACCAGCCGCUCUCCGUUCCCCUCAGAGCAGGCCUGGGAGAAGCCAGCCCUGUGUUUUUUGAGUCGGGCCGAGCUUGUAAGGGAGCGCAGCCCAUCUGGUUCUCAUAAAUCCUCUAUGUGGCUCCACAACUGGAAUUGCCUGUUUGGGGACGUGAUCGCUGAUACAGUCAUUACAAAACAACAGGGAAGAGGCCCGGCGCAGCUCCGAGCGUCAUCCGUCCUCUCCUCUGGUCCACAAACAUCAUCGCGCUCUGAAGACCUCCAAACUCCAAGAAGCUGCAGUCGGUGAUGAAUGGUGACCGUGCUGUAUGCAUUCCUGCCAGCAGGGGGCGCUCUACCCCUGCGAUCUGCUUAUUGACUUGCGUAAUUUGUGAAAAACACAAUUAGGGGUCACGGUCGGACCGGUGCUAAUUGUUAUAAUGAGCCCAAAGUGGUCAAUUAGCCUGUUUGCAGUCCUGCGCUACGCAACUAUCAGGUCAAGGGCAUCGCACAUAGUGUCACCCACAAAUUGGCACAAAAGGGAAAAACACUUCUCUACACACAAUUUGUAUUUUUUUUAUUUGCUUGUCACAUAUUCAUAAAUUCUCCAGCAGAACAGAACAGUAAACCUGUUUUGCUGCAUGAAUGAAUGGUAGUAUGGGCACAGCAGAGCGCACGACGCCAUCCGCGGCGUGCCAAAUCAUUAGGUCAUGUGGCGCUAUGCUGGUAAUGUCUGCCUCCCAAUCCCAGGCAUAUAUUUAUGAUCUGUUGGCUGCGAGAGUCCCGCUGACUUGUGCAGAUGAGGUCAAAGCCAUCAAAGUGACCUCACCGCCAGAGACAACACAACAUCUGUCCUCAUCUUUCACACCUUCCGUGGCUGCGUUUCCUCAGACCUCCCUGCACUCGCUUCCCUCUAAUUAGAACCAGUUCGAUUUAGCCGGGGGGGGGGGUGCAUAUCGGUGUGAUGCCUGUAAAACGGGAGAAGGGCCGGUUAUCUUCUAGCUCCAGUCUGGGUUCAGCGCUUGCUCCCGGUUCCCAUUAAAACGCAGCUACUGUAUUAACAGGAGCUGCCUGAGUCCACACACAGGAACCAAAUCCCAUAAAGUCCAAGCAUGUAAUGUAAAUGUCAAUCAGCUGGGCCUUAAUAAUAUAAUGCUCCGACAUCCCACAGGUGUUAUCCUGUAAUUAGGAGGAUUUGGGUGGAGACCACACAUGGAGUAAGCUUGUACUGUACAUGCGUAAUCUGAUUAUGAAAACGAGGCAUGCUGACAUGUUCUUACACUGGCUCCUGACCGGGCGCAGCUAAUAAUGUUGCUAUUAUUCUCCUCGCUGCUUGAGGAGGCAUAUUUCUGGGGAUUUAUUUAAAUGGCUGCCGCGGACGUGCACAUCUGGUGCUGGAUGGCUUGGCUUCAGCGUCACCUCCGGGUUAGUGAUCGUCUAGUGCAGCUCGCUGGUCUCGGCCACAUGUGCUCGCGCGCGCUCUGAUGACAAGUAAAUUCACCCGCGCCCCCCCCCCCUUCGCUCCUCGCCGUGACAGCGAUGAGUGCAUCCCUGUGAUAAAUUCAAAACAGCCACCGCCGCCGCUUCGCCCCACACUUUCCACGCAUUCCUCUGUGAAGCGUGCGAUGCCGACCACCCUCUGACUCCCAUCGGCGCCGGACCCGACGGGACGAGGCCCCUCAUGCCUUUCCUCUUAUCGUUUGAUUAUCUAUGCGCGGCGUCCUUUCAUGUGGCAGCCCAGCGUGCGUGAUCGGCCAUAGCCUCGUUGCCUCAUCGCUUGGUUCUGUGUCUUGGAACGCCACCAUAAUAAAUUGUCAUAGCUGUUAGUAAUAGCAGAAACAUCUGAGGGCCACAUGGGAUGCAACAGGCCCAUUCCAGAGUUCAUUUGUGCCACACAACAGCACAAUACUGUAAAAGUCAAACUCUGCACAUGUGAGUGUUUCUCUCUCUCUCUCUCCCUUCCAUUAUCUCAUGGAGAGCGUAACACCUGGUAUGUAUCAGUAAAUUGAAGGGAGGCGAGGGAGAGCCAUAAGUCCACCUUCAGCCUUCAAAGCACUUAGAGCGUGGAUCUAAGUGCGCUGCACGAUUGAAACCAUCCAAAGAGGAAAUUUAUCACUGAGCUGAAGUUUCGGGGCUCCGUAGGAUUGGGUUUCAUAAACAUUGCAUGCUGGAUGUUUUUCGAGCUCACACUGAUGCCAUUUGAGCUCAGGCAUCUGCAGCAGUCAGGAUGUUCCCGUGUGUAUAUGUCAAGGCCAUUUGUGCGUGUCUGUAAUCGUUUUAGUAACGUUGACUGUAUUACGUCUGUCAUUUAACGCCCUCACAUCAGGGUCCUGUUAAUAUCUGUGGCCUUUGACCCUUUGUUUCUCUACAGUGAUGCUCUAUCAGUCAAAAUCAUUACUUUUUUAACCUACGGAGGAUGUUUCUGAAUAAAUAGCAGUAGUGUCGAUCUGGAUUCUCCAUUAGCGAAACCGAGCCUCGACAUAAAACUAUCCAGUUUCCUCCUGGUGGUGCAGCCGCAGUGACACGACGCUGAUAGGAUUUUUAAUGGCCUUCCUGUGUCCCGUCGUCUGCCUCCGUGAAUCAGGCCCGUUCCAGUAGACUCUCUGGACGGCGAGGUGUCACGUCUCGAUAAAUAACUCGGUGCCGGUGGAAAGAGCGGAUGAUAAGUGGACAGGGAGCACAAUCAUUUACUCCGGAGGGGAAAACAAAUGCAUAUGGUAGCUCCAUAAACUUCAAAGAGGGGACAGACGUCCUGAGGCCGCGGGGCCGUUUUACACGUCUCCUCGGACCACGGAGGAAGGAGAUGUGUCUGUGUUUGGAAAGCAGACGUUCCCCCUGAUCUCAUAUUUAAGAUGUCUGAUUCCACUGCUUUGAGCGAUGAUGCUGUGUUACAUGUCUUCUCGAGGUGAUUUUUAUGCUAUUUAAUUUGGAGCCCCAGCGUUCGUCCAUAGUAACAUGAUAAACAUGGCGUCUGCCAUUAGAGCGAAUAAAGCAAACAAAGCGACUUGCUGAUUUCUCAGCUUUCAGGCCUCUGUCCAUCCUGCAUCAGCAACAUAUAGGCUAAAGAAAACAAGUGGGCCAGAAAGCGCUGGGUGGGUUCGUGCUUCAGUUUCAGCCCUGGCCUGGUCUCAUAAAGGCUGGCGGUGGGGGAAAAUGUGAGCGGCGGACGCUCACGCCCAGCCAGUGUCAGGUGAGUCAUUUUAUGUGGCAGUUCAGGUUGCAGUCGGUCCAAACUGCCGGCGUCUCCUCGCAGCCAGCGGAGGUCAAACGCUGGUUGGAGAGAGAGGGGAAAAACCGAGGUAGACUUUGUUUAUCCUCAUCUGUGGCCGGUUUGUUUUCGUGUUUUGCUUUUAUUUUGGAGUUUACCUAAAUCCCUCUUUUCAGGCCUGGAGGUAAGUCCCCGGGGGCGCUGCCAGAUGACUGCAUGUGUCUCGCUGAGGCUUUCAAGGCCUCUGCACCUCACGAUGCAGACUGCUGACAUGACGCUUAGAGAGAGUGAAGCAGCCCGAAAUCAGGUUCCAUUACUCUUCUCACAGCACACGUCCAGCUUUAACCUCCCGGAUUCAUCCCAGUCUUUACACUGCAGAUUGUUUUAGCAGUGUUACUGGGCAAAUCUGUUCCGAUCGAAUGACUGGAAGCAGAUUAAAGGAAACAAGGAGAUUGUUUAGACUUUACAAUGAGGAACAAACAAAAAAAAAGUGUUCAUAAAGCAGGUUGACCUGUGCUGCGCCUCCCUCCCCUCGUUCCCAAACUCAUCUAAGCCUUUAAUCAAACAGACAUCUGGACCGGUUUCGUGCGGAGCUCGAGGCCUGUUAUGGAGACCACGCAACGAUGUCGCUGUUCAUUAAUAGUGACGCUGACCAUCGCCGGCGCAUUCAUCUUCCUGUCUAACAACGGCGAGGAGCGCAGGCUGAGGACGCGGCGGCGACGGGUGGAUGCGGGGCCGGUCAGCUGAGAGACGGCGAGCAGCGAGUGGCUCCAGCUCACGUAGCAAACGCGAGGCCGAACGAGGCCAGACUGUCUGAAAGCAGUCACUGCGUCAUAUCACAGACGGGGUCUCGUCCUCGGAUCAAGCGUCCCUCUGCAUUAGCCCCCGUUAGUCACGCUCCUGUCAUCAGACAGGCAUCCAGACGCUGCCGCGGGAGCCAGAAGAGCCUUUCUAUCGGAUCUGAUCAGAACGCCGGGGAGUCGGUGUGAGCGGGAGCAGCGAGAUGCUUAUCGUCACUGAUCUUCAUGUCUCAGCUGUUUAUGUGCGGCGUCGCUUUCCCAAGGUUCCUGCCAGCGACGAGCGCGAUCAAUUCAGAGUCGCUUUACCAGUGUUGCGCGUCCAAACCGCACAAAUGCCUCCGUGAAAUGCUGCUCGUGUGAUCUUCUAUGGCCGGAGCCCCAGAGCACAUGAGCUGUGAUGACUGGACGAUGACGCUGGUUCUGCUGAGAGAUUCAAGCUGCGCUCCUGUGUUUGUUUAUGAUGAGUUCUGCAUUUUGCAUCUUCUGUGCUUAAAGACGCUUUUGUGACAUUUGAGUCAAAUUUGUUACAAAAACAUGUUUAGAGCCAGACAAUUUUUCCUCCAGACACUUAUAUAUAACAUAUACAUGUAUUUAAGUACAACCAUAUGCUGUGUUACUGUAGGGUAAUUGAAAGCAGCAGGGGACCUAAUCAUAGAUGCUUUUAAAAAGGUAAAGCUCCAGUCCUCACUUAAUUAAAUAUUUUAUGUUUUUAGCCAUUAAAACGUUUUACAGGAUAUAAGUUGCACUAAUUCUGCAGAAUAAGAAGAAUGGAUUUAGCAUCUGGAAGAACAGUGGAUGUCUCUGCAUUUUGACAUUUCUGGUCCGUCUGCUGUGGGAAUGAAAAUUCAAAAGGAUAUUUUAAUAUGGAAAAUGUAAAUCUGCAUGUGCAUGGGCCUUUGUAAUCCUGACAUAAACCACCAAAGCCGCAUUCCUUUGAAACCUCUUUCAUUAUUCAUCACAAUGUGACUGUGUUUUGUCAUUUUCCUCAACGGCUAAAAAAAUUCGAGCGAGCGGCUCAACAUUAGUGACGCUUGAGCAAAGGUUCGCUCAAAACUGCCUUGGGCGCAAACAAGGAUGUCCCCGCUUCAACGCCUGCCAUAACAUUAAUGAGGGAAUAGUUCCUCGAGUGUUGUGCUGAUAAAGCUGCUUAUCCAAAUGAGGAGUGGACCUUUGAAAAGAGGAAGCCGUUUAUCUGUGCAGUGACAACAGAACUUGUCUGGAGAGUUUCAAGCUCCUCAUCGCAGAAAAACCUGACCAAGUUUUCAGUGCAUGACGUUUGGCCUGUGAACUGUCUACUGUCUAUUACUGGCCUAUUACUGCUCUAUUAUAGAAUGUUUAAUCAAUGUGACACAAUUAUUAUUUUGCAAUGCGCACACACAGGCCUACCUGUGGAACCCGACUCAGGCCGGAGAGGUCACCGCUCGGCUCGCUGCUGCGAAGCUGUCAAAAAUAGCGUGAAAGCUUUGUGACUAGCGGGGAAUAUUCCCAUGAAAUAUCCUCCAGAUUCAGAAUAAUAAACCACAUGCCUGUCCGGUCCCCGAGCAACAGCAUGCUGUGAUCAUGCACGGGCUUUCUGUCAGAGCACAAAUCAUUAAUCUGCAACUGGGCUCCUAGAGCAGGACUCGGUCGGCAUCGGUGGCCUUUCGCGGGUCCGCUGCGCCGUUGCGUGCUAUCUGCUCCGUCUUCUGAAGCCUCAAGGUGAAGAGGAUGAACAGAAACACAUGUGACCUGGGAGUGAUUUCACACUCCAGAGAUGGGUCAGGUCGUUCUCCGUCUUCCUUUGUUUCAGGACGGUUCUUUCAACCCAGAGGCCAGACGCCUGCUAAGUCCAUCAUAAACACUACAUGAAUCUUUCAGGCCUUUCAGGUAUGUGCCUGAAAUAUUUCAAUGGCUACAACACUAAUGCUUGUGAUUUCAGAAGAUGUUACUAUAACUCAUGAGCUAAUGGAACCCACCUGUACCUCAAAACCCGAGUAGAAGUUGAAAGAGAAAAAUACAACCCUCUUAAGAACACACUAUAUCUGUUAUAUGAGCGUGAAUGUGAUCUUAUUAUUGUCACUAAUCAGUUAUUGAUCUCACAUAAUGAAUAUGAAACAAGCUGGCACUGCCAAUGUUCUUUCCAUUACAUUCAACAGGUGCAAUUUAUUUAAAAAUGAGAUUCAACAGAAUUAGAACUAGAAUAAAAACUGCAUGAGGAAAUAAUUCAUGUAAUUAUUCUGUGGCUUGGAUUUGGAAAUCAUCCCUGUUCCAUUCCUUCAGCUUAAUUUGUUAUAAGAACCUGAAUAUUUGUCUAGAAAAUGUGGAUACGUUUCCAUUAGUGCAUAAUUAAUUGAAUAAGUUGCAUCAACGUGGGAAACGUGGCAUUCGCGAUGCGUUUCCCUUUGGCCUGUGAUUUGUUUGGGGAAACCGUGAUGUGAGAAUCCGCUGCCGCUCCCUCCUCAUGUCAGCGUUGCUGCCCGGCAUUUCUGAUACUUCGAGCGCUUGUCUCCUCUAAGUAAUCAUGUAAUCUCUGUCGGGCCCCUCCCGUCCCAGACACAAGCUUGUAAUUGUUUGAUGGACGUCAUCCAAUUGAGAGAUUAAGGAUAUACUGUACGUCGCCAUGUUAACGUUUGUGUCUGACAACGCUGGUGGUCACGAGGACCUGCUGUGAACUGGAGCGCGUCCUCUGCUGUUGAAUCCUGGCUGUGGCUCAACGUUAAUUCCGCCAGUGGUUAAUGGGCUGCUCACUACGUCUUUGGUAUAUUGUUUUAAUAGGGGAACAGGGCUGACGUAAGGAGGGAGCAGCAUUCUGACUGCACAAAAGGGAGGGGAGACCAAAAGGUUUCCAUUGUCUCAAAUGAAGUUGGCGGUGAGAGUGGUGUAUUCGGAUUCUCCCUGCAUGGUGUCAUUUGUGAGAAUUGCUGUAUAUUGAUAACCUGCAUUCGGCCUCAUUUGUGUUUGCCUGUGCUCUGCUGUGGGAGGAACUCGUGCCAUAUGUGACCAAGGCCGAGGGAGCCAGAUCCGAGCCAGACGCUUAAGUGAAUCACCAACUGCGUUGCAUGUGAAGUGUACAUUUUGUGACUCCUUGUUUAUUGCCCACAUUCAGCUUCGUGACUCUCCUCCAGAUUUGUGCCAAGUCUGAGGCCACAUUCCUAAAUCUCUCCACUUUGAUGGAGGAGAAAGUGGCUUGUUUUCCAAACCCGGGUUUCACAUCCACUCUAUGUCCUGAGAUGUAUUCCGGAGUAUAGAAUUACAGUUAUGUUGUGUAUAGCAUAAAGAAAUAUAGAAUGUUUUAGUUUGUUCUGCUUCUAGUAAAACAUUUGUUUUUUAUGGGAAUUUCUACUAUAUAUACAAUGUUUUGUUUGUAGUCCUAUAUAAAUAAUGUAUAUAUGUUUUUUUUGCUUAUUAUCGUUUCAUGAAAAUUUCUUUUUCACUUGUUCAACAUCAAAACAAAUGAAAAUAAGAGAAAAUCAUUAGAGGUUGAUCAGGGUUUGCAGGUGUAGCACUCCUAUGUAAAAUGUCAUAGUAUAGUACGUGGUGAAAAAGCCUCAUAUUAUUAUAUGUGGUUAAAAAAAGUGUCAUAGUGGUGAAAAAACUCAUACUGUAAGAUAGCAUGUGAAAUAAACGUGGCGUAGUAUAGUAUGUAAUGAAAAAGUGUGAUAGUAUAAUACAGUAUAUGAAAGCGUAUGUGAUGUGAAAAAAUGUCAUAGUAUAGUAUGAUAUGAAAACGCGUAAUAUAAUAGUAUAUGAAAUAUAGUAUAUAUGAGUUGAAAAAGAAGUUUCAUAUUAUAGUAUGCCAAGAAAAAAGUAAUAGUAUUUUAUGAUGUGGAAAAAGUGUCAUAUUAUUGUUUUUGGUGAAAAAAUGUCAUAUAGUUUAAUAUUACUGUAUAAAAGGGUCAUAGUUCAGUUCGUGGUGAUAAGUGGGACUUUGGACUGGGACUAUACAGUACAAACACUGGAUUAGAUAGGAUUGACCCAAGUUUUCAUGCUCCAUGUGGUUGUGUUUAUGUGUGUGAGCAGAUAGCUUAGAGGUUUUGAGUGUGGUAUGGGAUUUCAAGUCUCAACAGUCUCAUCAACCGCAAAAAAAGAUUAAACUCCUCAAAAUGAUAAAACAGCAA